GAUGAACGCUAGCUACAGGCUUAACACAUGCAAGUCGAGGGGCAGCAUGGUCUUAGCUUGCUAAGGCCGAUGGCGACCGGCGCACGGGUGAGUAACACGUAUCCAACCUGCCGUCUACUCUUGGACAGCCUUCUGAAAGGAAGAUUAAUACAAGAUGGCAUCAUGAGUCCGCAUGUUCACAUGAUUAAAGGUAUUCCGGUAGACGAUGGGGAUGCGUUCCAUUAGAUAGUAGGCGGGGUAACGGCCCACCUAGUCUUCGAUGGAUAGGGGUUCUGAGAGGAAGGUCCCCCACAUUGGAACUAAGACACGGUCCAAACUCCUACGGGAGGCAGCAGUGAGGAAUAUUGGUCAAUGGGCGCAGGCCUGAACCAGCCAAGUAGCGUGAAGGAUGACUGCCCUAUGGGUUGUAAACUUCUUUUAUAAAGGAAUAAAGUCGGGUAUGGAUACCCGUUUGCAUGUACUUUAUGAAUAAGGAUCGGCUAACUCCGUG
This 490-nucleotide ribosomal RNA is filed under the name uncultured bacterium. RNAcentral describes it as "partial 16S ribosomal RNA". It matches the Rfam family "Bacterial small subunit ribosomal RNA", at positions 28 to 507 of the family's 1533-position model. The record is from RNAcentral.